UUAUCUCUGUAGAGUCUGCAUAUCAAUAAGCGGAGGAAAAGAAACUAACUAGGAUUCCCUCAGUAACGGCGAGUGAAGCGGGAAGAGCUCAAAUUUGAAAUCUUCAAGGUUUUACCUUGACGAAUUGUAGUUUAAAGAAGUGUUUUCUGUUGGAAUUUUGGUAAAAGUUCUUUGGAAAAAGACAUCAAAGAGGGUGAGAAUCCCGUAUUUGACCAUUAUUUCCAGCUUUGUGAUACACUUUCAAAGAGUCGGAUUGUUUGGGAAUGCAGUCCAAAAUGGGUGGUAAAUUUCAUCUAAAGCUAAAUACUGGCGAGAGACCGAUAGCGAACAAGUACCGUGAGGGAAAGAUGAAAAGAACUUUGAAAAGAGAGUUAAACAGUACGUGAAAUUGUCAAAAGGGAAGCGUUUGACACCAGUGUUGUUUUCUCGAAAAUCAAUUAAAAAAGAUUGGAUUUUGUGUUGUAUUGACUUUAUCAGCUUUCUGCACUCUUUUCUUGUCUUUUUUAAUGCACUUUUCGUUUAACAAGUCAACAUCAAUUUCUUUUGUUGUAAAAGAGUCAUUGGAAGGUGGCUUUCUUUUCGGAGAAAGUGUUUAUAGCCUUUGGCUUCUGCAAUCGGAGAGAUUGAGGUCUGCAGCGUAGAUCCUUCGGGGUUAGACUACAUUUGUGCUAAGUUAUAGCCUUUCAUAGACAACUUGUUGACUAUGAUCAGUCAUGUAGCUUACUCGCUUAUGCUAUUUUACCUACGCUUAGGAUGUUGAUCUCUCACAGUCGAGC
RNAcentral lists this ribosomal RNA (776 nucleotides) under uncultured Neocallimastigales. RNAcentral's name for it is "partial large subunit ribosomal RNA". It matches the Rfam family "Eukaryotic large subunit ribosomal RNA", at positions 24 to 645 of the family's 3401-position model. Lineage: Eukaryota; Fungi; Neocallimastigomycota; Neocallimastigomycetes; Neocallimastigales. The record is from RNAcentral.